UACGAAGGGGGCUAGCGUUGCUCGGAAUCACUGGGCGUAAAGCGCACGUAGGCGGAUUGCUAAGUCAGGGGUGAAAUCCUGGAGCUCAACUCCAGAACUGCCUUUGAUACUGGCGACCUUGAGUCCGGGAGAGGUGAGUGGAACUGCGAGUGUAGAGGUGAAAUUCGUAGAUAUUCGCAAGAACACCAGUGGCGAAGGCGGCUCACUGGCCCGGUACUGACGCUGAGGUGCGAAAGCGUCGGGAGCAAACAGG
RNAcentral lists this ribosomal RNA (253 nucleotides) under uncultured bacterium. Its description in RNAcentral is "partial 16S ribosomal RNA". It matches the Rfam family "Bacterial small subunit ribosomal RNA", at positions 524 to 776 of the family's 1533-position model. The record is from RNAcentral.